This 192-nucleotide small nuclear RNA is filed under the name Oncorhynchus mykiss (rainbow trout). RNAcentral describes it as "U2 spliceosomal RNA (ENSOMYG00000068217.1)". It matches the Rfam family "U2 spliceosomal RNA". From Rfam's summary of the family: U2 is a small nuclear RNA (snRNA) component of the spliceosome (involved in pre-mRNA splicing). The record is from RNAcentral. Lineage: Eukaryota; Metazoa; Chordata; Actinopteri; Salmoniformes; Salmonidae.
AUCGCUUCUCGGCCUUUUGGCUCAGAUCAAGUGUAGUAUCUGUUCUUAUCAGUUUAAUAUCUGAUACGUCCCCCAUCGGGGGACUACAUAUUAAAUGGAUUUUUCGAACAGGGAGUCGGAAAUGGGGCUUGCUCCGUCCGCUCCACGCAUCGACCCGGUAUUGCAGUACCCUCCGGGAACGGUGCAAAACAC